Molecule: ribosomal RNA, 256 nt
Filed under: uncultured Pseudomonas sp.
Lineage: Bacteria; Pseudomonadati; Pseudomonadota; Gammaproteobacteria; Pseudomonadales; Pseudomonadaceae
Description: partial 16S ribosomal RNA
Rfam family: Bacterial small subunit ribosomal RNA
Source: RNAcentral
CGGCGGACGGGUGAGUAAUGCCUAGGAAUCUGCCUGGUAGUGGGGGACAACGUUUCGAAAGGAACGCUAAUACCGCAUACGUCCUACGGGAGAAAGCAGGGACCUUCGGGCCUUGCGCUAUCAGAUGAGCCUAGGUCGGAUUAGCUAGUUGGUGAGGUAAUGGCUCACCAAGGCGACGAUCCGUAACUGGUCUGAGAGGAUGAUCAGUCACACUGGAACUGAGACACGGUCCAGACUCCUACGGGAGGCAGCAGAA